RNAcentral lists this long non-coding RNA (652 nucleotides) under Elaeis guineensis (African oil palm). RNAcentral's name for it is "long non-coding RNA (EGUI_LNC033433)". The record is from RNAcentral. Lineage: Eukaryota; Viridiplantae; Streptophyta; Magnoliopsida; Arecales; Arecaceae.
UCUUUCUCUACAAAAUUUCUCUCCAAAAUUUCUUCCUUAAAAUUUCUCUCUUACUUUGGACCUCCUCACAUCCCUUUUUAUAGCCUUCAAGACCUUCUCAAACCUUAGGUACCCCAAGUCUUGGUUUGUCUCAUGUCUCCCCUCUUUCCUAUUUUGAUUUUUGACACCCCAAACCCUAGCCAUCCCACUCUCUCUCAAAAGCCUUUUAAAAACCUAAAUCUCUGUCUCGCAUUUUAGGUGGUUUAAAACCAUGCCUGCCCCCAUCUCGUGCUCGCAUGCACGCCCAUGUCCCUGCACAUCAAUCGUACCUGUACCUGCACCCACACUUGCACGCCUGCGCUUGUGUGAAAGACUGUGUGGUUUGUUCUUGUGAGCCAUGCAUGGACCACACAGUUGCUCUCUGUGCACUUUGCGUGGAUCAUAUGGCAGUUCUUUAUGCACCAUGCGUGGACCGCACGCCUGUUUCUAUGAGUUAGCAUGCAUGGACUGCGUGGGCUUCUUUGGGCCAUGUCUUUUGUUGUGGGCCUUAUGCCUCUGUGGGCCAUGCUAUUCUAUUUUUCUUUGGUCUGGAUGUGCAUGUUGGCUGAAAAUUUAUCAAUAGAGGCAGGCUAACUUAGGAUUCAUCAUUGUAAAUAUUGAGGGCCUUUGCUAG